Molecule: ribosomal RNA, 403 nt
Filed under: uncultured bacterium
Lineage: Bacteria
Description: partial 16S ribosomal RNA
Rfam family: Bacterial small subunit ribosomal RNA
Source: RNAcentral
GACGAACGCUGGCGGCGUGCCUAAUACAUGCAAGUCGAACGCAGUGGGGACGGGUGAGUAACACGUGGCUAACCUCCCAUCAGAGGGGAUAACACUUGGCAACAGGUGCUAAACCGAUACUGAUGGAUGGACCCGCGGUGCAUUAGCUAGUUGGUGAGGUCACGGCUCAACAAGGCCACGAUGCAUAGCCUGCCUGAGAGGGGGAUCGGCCAAACUGGGACGGAGACACGGCCAAGACGCCUACGGGAGGAAGCAGGAGGGAAGCUUCGGCAAUGGACGAAAGUCUGACCGACCAACGCCGCGUGAGUGAAGAAGGUUUUCGGAUCGUAAAACUCUGUGGUUAGAGAAGCGGUAUCUAACCAGAAAGCCACGGCUAACUACGUGCCAGCAGCCGCGGUAAUUC